UAGUCCACGCCGUAAACGAUGGACACUAGUUGUUGGGCAUUAGCUCAGUGACCAAGCGAAAGUGAUAAGUGUCCCACCUGGGGAGUACGAUCGCAAGAUUGAAACUCAAAGGAAUUGACGGGGGCCCGCACAAGCGGUGGAGCAUGUGGUUUAAUUCGAUGAUACGUGAGGAACCUUACCAGGGCUUAAAUGUGGUCUGACAGCUUUAGAGAUAGAGUUUUCUUCGGACAGAUCACAAGGUGCUGCAUGGUUGUCGUCAGCUCGUGCCGUGAGGUGUUAGGUUAAGUCCUGCAACGAGCGCGACCCCUAUCAUUAGUUGCUAACAGGUUAAGCUGAGGACUCUAAUGAGACUGCCGGUGCAAACCGCGAGGAAGGUGGGGAUGACGUCAAAUCAUCACGGCCCUUACGUCCUGGGCUACACACGUGCUACAAUGGCAGGUACAGAGGGCAGCUACCCCGCGAGGGGAUGCGAAUCUUCAAAGCCUGUCUCAGUUCGG
Molecule: ribosomal RNA, 497 nt
Filed under: uncultured bacterium
Lineage: Bacteria
Description: bacterial SSU rRNA
Rfam family: Bacterial small subunit ribosomal RNA
Source: RNAcentral